RNAcentral lists this ribosomal RNA (404 nucleotides) under Fusobacteriota bacterium. RNAcentral describes it as "Fusobacteria bacterium partial 16S ribosomal RNA". It matches the Rfam family "Bacterial small subunit ribosomal RNA", at positions 355 to 776 of the family's 1533-position model. The record is from RNAcentral. Lineage: Bacteria; Fusobacteriati; Fusobacteriota.
UGGGGAAUAUUGCACAAUGGAGGGAACUCUGAUGCAGCGACGCCGCGUGAGUGAUGAAGGACUUCGUUUCGUAAAACUCUGUUCUAUGGGAAGAAAAGGAUUGUACCAUAGGAGAAAGCUCCGGCUAAAUACGUGCUAGCAGCGGCGGUAAUACGUAUGGAGCGAGCGUUGUUCGGAAUUAUUGGGCGUAAAGGGUGCGCAGGCGGCUUUACAAGUUGGAUGUGAAAUAUUGUGGCUCAACCACAAACGUGCAUCCAAAACUGCAAAGCUUGAGUUAAGGAGAGGUAAGUGGAGUUCCUGGUGUGGCGGUGAAAUGCGUAGAUAUCAGGAGGAAUACCGGUGGCGAAGGCGACUUACUGGACUAAAACUGACGCUCAGGCACGAAAGCGUGGGGAGCAAACAGG